CAUGGCUUUUAAAUAUUGUGGCAACAAGCAGCCGCCACAGUAUGACAACCACAGACAGGUGGUGAGGUUCCCUGAGUGGGAAACGAACCUGGG
This is a non-coding RNA of Ceratotherium simum simum (southern white rhinoceros), 93 nucleotides long. Lineage: Eukaryota; Metazoa; Chordata; Mammalia; Perissodactyla; Rhinocerotidae. The record is from RefSeq and is a predicted model, not a curated record.